This 766-nucleotide ribosomal RNA is filed under the name uncultured Russula. Its description in RNAcentral is "partial 28S ribosomal RNA". It matches the Rfam family "Eukaryotic large subunit ribosomal RNA", at positions 216 to 962 of the family's 3401-position model. Lineage: Eukaryota; Fungi; Basidiomycota; Agaricomycetes; Russulales; Russulaceae. The record is from RNAcentral.
GAAUCCCGUCUUUGGCACGGACACACCAGGGCUUUUGUGAUGCGCUCUCGAAGAGUCGAGUUGUCUGGGAAUGCAGCUCAAAAUGGGUGGUGAACUCCAUCUAAAGCUAAAUAUUGGCGAGAGACCGAUAGCGAACAAGUACCGUGAGGGAAAGAUGAAAAGCACUUUGGAAAGAGAGUGAAACAGUACGUGAAAUUGUUGAAAGGGAAACGCUUGAAGUCAGUCGCGUCGACCGAGACUCAGCCUUGCCUUGGCUUGAUGUACUUCUCGGCUGACGGGUCAGCAUCAAUUUUGCCCCUUGGAUAAUGGCGAGGGAAAUGUGACACCUUUACGGUGUGUUAUAGUCUCUCGUCGCAUGCAAGGGUUGGGAUUGAGGAACUCAGCACGCACCUUUGGGUGUCGGGGUUUUGCCCACGAUACGUGCUUAGGAUGUUGGCGUAAUGGCUUUAAACGACCCGUCUUGAAACACGGACCAAGGAGUCUAACAUGCCUGCGAGUGUUCGGGUGGAAAACUCGUGCGCGCAAUGAAAGUGAAAGUUGGGACCUCUGUCGUGGAGGGCACCGACGCCCGGACCAGACCUUCUGUGACGGCUCUGCGGUAAAGCAUGUAUGUUAGGACCCGAAAGAUGGUGAGCUAUGCCUGAAUAGGGUGAAGCCAGAGGAAACUCUGGUGGAGGCUCGUAGCGAUUCUGACGUGCAAAUCGAUCGUCAAAUUUGGGUAUAGGGGCGAAAGACUAAUCGAACCAUCUAGUAGCUGGUUCCUGCC